This is a long non-coding RNA of Monopterus albus (swamp eel), 776 nucleotides long. RefSeq lists it as uncharacterized. The transcript has 2 exons. NCBI's taxonomy places the organism in Eukaryota, Metazoa, Chordata, Actinopteri, Synbranchiformes, Synbranchidae. The record is from RefSeq and is a predicted model, not a curated record.
GUCCAGUCCUGCCUCUUACUAGCUCCUCUGUUUUCCGUGGCUCCUGGUUUCCAGCACUGAAGACAUCUAUCCUGCUAAUCUAGCUGCCCACCUGGGUUGUCUCCAGACCAGUUUCAGUUCUACUCACCUGGGGGUUCCUCAUCGCUGUAGGAGUUGUUUCCAGGUCAGUGUCAUCUCAGCUCUCUGCCUGUACCGCAUCAAGCCUGAGUCAGCACCAGCCCAGCAUAUACAUAGUUCACCCUUCAGUCCCUCCUGAGUAUCACCAGUCCAGCAUCCAUCCAGCUCUCCAGUCUAUUUCUGCAUCACUCCUGAGUCACCGCCUGUCCAGGUGCUACCUCAGUGCUGCCGCGUGUCCUUCAACCGAACUAACCUGCCCCACUCUUUGCCGGAUCCAGCAAGCCCAGCUGACCUCCAUCUUCCAGCUUGUCUUGUGACUGGCCUCUGCUAGGUUUCUGCAAUCUGUCCGGUUCUUCAUCUCCUACACCUGCCUGCUUCCCCCUCCUGUCCACCUACCAGCCCCUGAGGUCUUUUCAGCCUUCCUUAGGUCCUUUGAGUCCAAUUCCCAUGUCCUCACUCCACAUAGAAGUUGGACAGCCCACUCUCCUCUGUACUCACCCGCAUUGACAGAGGACCAGUCAUCCGGAGGUCCCCUUUUCCACACUUUCUUCACAUUGCUGGAAACAGUCCUGCCUCUGCACCACUCCACCAAGUAUUCUGUUUGUCUCAGCCAUUGCUGGUCACUUCUGAUUGACUGUACAAUAAACGUCUUAAUCUUA